GAGGAUUUUUGGAGCUGGUACACAUAUCCUGAGAGAGGAGAAACCAGAGUGGUAGGAAUUAGUCUAGUGAAGGCAGGGAGAGGAUGCCUAGAACUGCUGAGCUGAGGGUCCCUGGGCUGAAACUUGGAGAAGUGGCUUCAGUACCAGAUGUUUCGGAGGAAGAUCAAGAGAUUUCAUCCUCCAAAUAGGCAAUUAUGGAAUCUGCCCUGGGUGCCUGCAUCCUGUGUGCUGCAGCAAGACCACCAGGAGUCUGCCAGUAGCAGCAAGUGAUCCCGCAUGUGGUACAACAGCUACACUGUAGACCUUUGUUGUGCUCUCCAUGCCAAAGGGGUGGCAUUAAGUGUUAAAAAUUCAGCUUGCUUGGUAUUUUA
This is a long non-coding RNA of Mauremys mutica (yellowpond turtle), 371 nucleotides long. RefSeq lists it as uncharacterized. NCBI's taxonomy places the organism in Eukaryota, Metazoa, Chordata, Testudines, Geoemydidae. The transcript has 3 exons. The record is from RefSeq and is a predicted model, not a curated record.